RNAcentral lists this ribosomal RNA (497 nucleotides) under uncultured bacterium. RNAcentral describes it as "partial 16S ribosomal RNA". It matches the Rfam family "Bacterial small subunit ribosomal RNA", at positions 28 to 507 of the family's 1533-position model. The record is from RNAcentral.
GAUGAACGCUGGCGGCGUGCCUAAUACAUGCAAGUCGAGCGAACGGACGAGAAGCUUGCUUCUCUGAUGUUAGCGGCGGACGGGUGAGUAACACGUGGAUAACCUACCUAUAAGACUGGGAUAACUUCGGGAAACCGGAGCUAAUACCGGAUAAUAUUUUGAACCGCAUGGUUCAAAAGUGAAAGACGGUCUUGCUGUCACUUAUAGAUGGAUCCGCGCUGCAUUAGCUAGUUGGUAAGGUAACGGCUUACCAAGGCAACGAUGCAUAGCCGACCUGAGAGGGUGAUCCGCCACCCUGGAACUGAGACACGGUCCAGACUCCUACGGGAGGCAGCAGUAGAGAAUCUUACGCGAUGGGCGAAAGCCUGAUAGAGGAACGCCGCGGGAGUGAUGAAGGACUUCGGAUCGGAGAGCUCUGUUAGUAGGAAAGAACAAAUGUGUAAUUAACUGUGCACAUCUUGACGGUACCUAAUCAAAAAGCCACGGCUAACUACGUG